UCUGGAGACAGGUGCUGCAUGGCUGUCGUCAGCUCGCGUCGUGAGAUGUUGGGUUAAGUCCCGCAACGAGCGCAACCCUUGCCUUUAGUUGCCAGCAGUUCGGCUGGGCACUCUAAAGGGACUGCCGGUGUUAAACCGGAGGAAGGUGGGGAUGACGUCAAGUCCUCAUGGCCUUUAUGACCAGGGCUACACACGUACUACAAUGGCCGAUACAAAGGGCAGCGACACUGCGAGGUGAAGCCAAUCCCGUAAAAUCGGUCUCAGUCCGGAUUGGAGUCUGCAACUCGACUCCAUGAAGUUGGAAUCGCUAGUAAUCGUGGAUCAGCAUGCCACGGUGAAUACGUUCCCGGGCCUU
RNAcentral lists this ribosomal RNA (355 nucleotides) under uncultured Desulfobulbus sp. RNAcentral describes it as "bacterial SSU rRNA". It matches the Rfam family "Bacterial small subunit ribosomal RNA", at positions 1027 to 1382 of the family's 1533-position model. The record is from RNAcentral. Lineage: Bacteria; Pseudomonadati; Thermodesulfobacteriota; Desulfobulbia; Desulfobulbales; Desulfobulbaceae.